CCUACGGGAGGCAGCAGUGAGGAAUAUUGGUCAAUGGACGAGAGUCUGAACCAACCAAGUAGCGUGAAGGAUGACUGCCCUAUGGGUUGUAAACUUCUUUUAUAAAGGAAUAAAACGAGGCACGUGUGCCUUUUUGCAUGUACUUUAUGAAUAAGGAUCGGCUAACUCCGUGCCAGCAGCCGCGGUAAUACGGAGGAUCCGAGCGUUAUCCGGAUUUAUUGGGUUUAAAGGGAGCGUAGAUGGGUUGUUAAGUCAGUUGUGAAAGUUUGCGGCUCAACCGUAAAAUUGCAAUUGAUACUGGCAGUCGUGAGUACAGUUGAGGUAGGCGGAAUUCGUGGUGUAGCGGUGAAAUGCUUAGAUAUCACGAAGAACCCCGAUUGCGAAGGCAGCUUACUAAACUGUGACUGACAUUGAUGCUCGAAAGUGUGGGUAUCAAACAGGAUUAGAUACCCGGGUAGUC
Molecule: ribosomal RNA, 460 nt
Filed under: uncultured bacterium
Lineage: Bacteria
Description: partial 16S ribosomal RNA
Rfam family: Bacterial small subunit ribosomal RNA
Source: RNAcentral